RNAcentral lists this transfer RNA (75 nucleotides) under Myxococcales bacterium. RNAcentral describes it as "tRNA-Pro". It matches the Rfam family "tRNA". Rfam says of the family: Transfer RNA (tRNA) molecules are approximately 80 nucleotides in length. Their secondary structure includes four short double-helical elements and three loops (D, anti-codon, and T loops). Lineage: Bacteria; Pseudomonadati; Myxococcota; Myxococcia; Myxococcales. The record is from RNAcentral. RNAcentral also lists the same sequence under 1 other name.
CGGGAUGUAGCUUAGCCUGGCGAAAGCGCCUGUCUGGGGGACAGGAGACCGUCGGUUCGAAUCCGGCCAUCCCGA